RNAcentral lists this ribosomal RNA (420 nucleotides) under uncultured bacterium. RNAcentral describes it as "partial 16S ribosomal RNA". It matches the Rfam family "Bacterial small subunit ribosomal RNA", at positions 360 to 772 of the family's 1533-position model. The record is from RNAcentral.
AAUUUUGGACAAUGGGGGAAACCCUGAUCCAGCCAUCCCGCGUGUAUGAUGAAGGCCUUCGGGUUGUAAAGACCUUUGGGCGGAGAGGAAAAGUUAUUUCUUAUUCCGAGUUACUGCGGACGUAAUCUGCAGAUUAGGCACCGGCAAACUCGUUGCCAGCAGCCGCGGUAAUACGUAGGGUGCAAGCGUUAAUCGGAAUUACUGGGCGUAAAGCGUGUGUAGGCGGUUCGGAAAGAAAGAUGUGAAAUCCCAGGGCUCAACCUUGGAACUGCAUUUUUAACUGCCGAGCUAGAGUAUGUCAGAGGGGGGUAGAAUUCCACGUGUAGCAGUGAAAUGCGUAGAUAUGUGGAGGAAUACCGAUGGCGAAGGCAGCCCCCUGGGAUAAUACUGACGCUCAGACACGAAAGCGUGGGGAGCAAA